GAUGAACGCUGGCGGCGUGCCUAAUACAUGCAAGUCGAGCGAACAGACGAGGAGCUUGCUCCUCUGACGUUAGCGGCGGACGGGUGAGUAACACGUGGAUAACCUACCUAUAAGACUGGGAUAACUUCGGGAAACCGGAGCUAAUACCGGAUAAUAUAUUGAACCGCAUGGUUCAAUAGUGAAAGACGGUUUUGCUGUCACUUAUAGAUGGAUCCGCGCCGCAUUAGCUAGUUGGUAAGGUAACGGCUUACCAAGGCAACGAUGCGUAGCCGACCUGAGAGGGUGAUCGGCCACACGGGAACUGAGACCCGGUCCAGACUCCUACGGGGGGCACCAGUAGGGAAUCUUCCGCAAUGGGCGAAAGCCUGCCGGAGCACGGCCGCUGAAGUGAUGAAGGUCUUCGGAUCGUAAAACUCUGUUAUUAGGGAAGAACAAAUGUGUAAGUAACUAUGCACGUCUUGACGGUACCUAAUCAGAAAGCCACGGCUAACUACGUG
Molecule: ribosomal RNA, 497 nt
Filed under: uncultured bacterium
Lineage: Bacteria
Description: partial 16S ribosomal RNA
Rfam family: Bacterial small subunit ribosomal RNA
Source: RNAcentral